UAGGAGGGGGUACAGCAACCGCGGCGACAAGGAGCGGGAGGGCAUGUAGUGACGGCGCGGAUCUCGGGGGUGGCUGCGCCGCCUACGCGACAUGUACCGGCUCCUCAGUUCGUCCACGUGGUGGAGGGACGAGUCCCGUCGUCCCUGACGUGGCGAACCAACAGGUGGACCUAGUCUAGCGUCGGCUAGACUAGGAGGUGGUGUACGUAGAGAGAAGCCUUGAGCGUGUCGUACACGUGGGCGUCCCUAGCGUACGGUCCGUCCUAGGAACACUGGUCGAAGGACCUCGCCAACAGAUCCGACUGUUCAGAAACCUCCUGGUAGAGCUGCGGGGAGCGCUACGGGUCCUACCUCCCUAGCUGGUGCAGACGAAGACCCUACCAAAGUCCGACGACGUCUAACAGACCCCACUGCCGCUCAAGUCAGCGCUCUUUGACAUUUAGUAUCAUGGAUGCCACGUUUUGAAGUACCUUCAGUAGUAGACUGUCGUCUAGAGAUCGUACCAGCCUAGGACUAGAAUUCUACUCGGAAGAUAACGAAAGUUGACGUGAGGUCCAUACGACUAUUAGCAUCUACGAAAGACGGCCGUCACUGUCAUCUUAAACGAAAUAAAAAAAGUCUCCCUCGACGACUCAACGUGCCUUGGAAGCACCAUACUCUAUAAAGUGUGUCAGUCCGGACUCUUACGAAAGGAACUUGCAGUAUAACCCUCUGUUUAAGUCAUAGCGACCCUACUGUUUGAACACCUCAUCGGAGUGGUACAGACAUUAUAAAGAUGGCCUCGUACGUUCGUGUAGAUACCUACUCGGUUUGAAGUAAGGGUCGAGGUGGAAAUGUACCUGUGGUAACUAGUGACAUAUUUAU
RNAcentral lists this ribosomal RNA (864 nucleotides) under Triticum aestivum (bread wheat). RNAcentral describes it as "partial small subunit ribosomal RNA". The record is from RNAcentral. Lineage: Eukaryota; Viridiplantae; Streptophyta; Magnoliopsida; Poales; Poaceae.